UGCGUAACGCGUAUGCAACCUACCUUAAUCGGGGGGAUAGCCCGAAGAAAUUCGGAUUAACACCGCAAAAAAUCACAGUACAGCAUUGUACAAUGAUCAAAUAUUUAUAGGAUUAAGAUGGGCAUGCGUGUCAUUAUUUAGUUGGCGAGGUAACGGCUCACCAAGACCACGAUGACUAGGGGAUCUGAGAGGAUGACCCCCCACACUGGUACUGAGACACGGACCACACUCCUACGGGAGGCAGCAGUAAAGAAUAUUGGUCAAUGGAGGCAACUCUGAACCAGCCAUGCCGCGUGCAGGAAGACAGCCCUCUGGGUCGUAAACUGCUUUUAUUCGGGAAUAAACCUACUUACGUGUAAGUAGCUGAAUGUACCGAAGGAAUAAGGAUCGGCUAACUCCGUGCCAGCAGCCGC
This 413-nucleotide ribosomal RNA is filed under the name uncultured Pedobacter sp. Its description in RNAcentral is "bacterial SSU rRNA". It matches the Rfam family "Bacterial small subunit ribosomal RNA", at positions 107 to 518 of the family's 1533-position model. The record is from RNAcentral. Lineage: Bacteria; Pseudomonadati; Bacteroidota; Sphingobacteriia; Sphingobacteriales; Sphingobacteriaceae.